This 253-nucleotide ribosomal RNA is filed under the name uncultured bacterium. Its description in RNAcentral is "partial 16S ribosomal RNA". It matches the Rfam family "Bacterial small subunit ribosomal RNA", at positions 524 to 776 of the family's 1533-position model. The record is from RNAcentral.
UACGAACCGUACGAACGUUAUUCGGAAUCACUGGGCUUAAAGGGUGCGUAGGCGGCGCUGAAAGUAGGGUGUGAAAUCCCUCGGCUCAACCGAGGAACUGCGCUCUAAACUACAGUGCUUGAGGGAGACAGAGGUGAGCGGAACUUAGGGUGGAGCGGUGAAAUGCGUUGAUAUCCUAAGGAACACCCGUGGCGAAAGCGGCUCACUGGGUCUCUUCUGGCGCUGAGGCACGAAAGCCAGGGUAGCGAACGGG